This is a ribosomal RNA of Enterocytozoon bieneusi H348, 1154 nucleotides long. It matches the Rfam family "Eukaryotic large subunit ribosomal RNA", at positions 1891 to 3337 of the family's 3401-position model. The record is from Rfam. NCBI's taxonomy places the organism in Eukaryota, Fungi, Microsporidia, Enterocytozoonidae.
AUAUUGUAUGUGAGCAAGGGAAAUCGGCAAAUGGAUGAAAAACCUCGGGAUAAUCAUUGGCUCUAGCAUGCUAGAACUGGGCUUACAAGGGGAAUCUGACUGUUUAAUAAAAACAUAGCUUUGUGUGUACGCAAAGUGAAUUCUGCCCAGUGCUUGGGACGUUAAGGAAGUAAUUUUAAGUACGCACCUGUAAACGGCGGGAGUAACUAUGACUCUCUUAAGGUAGCCAAAUGCCUCGUCGCCUAAUUAGCGACGCGCAUGAAUGGAGCAACGAGAUUCCCACUGUCCCUGCUCACAGAUUUGCGAACCUACAGCCAAGGGAACGGGCUUGGGACAUGCAGCGGGGAAAGAAGACCCUGUUGAGCUUGACUCUAGCCAAGCACAGGCCUCUGUGACUAUAUCGUAGCGAGGUGGGAGAAAUGUGUGAGACCACUGACAUAGUCGGCGGGGGCACUCGCAAAGCUUGGUGGGGAGUUUGGCUGGGGCGGCACGACUACUAAAACAUAACGUAGACGUCCAAAGGUAAGCUCCGAGGGGAUGGAAACCACUCCGAGAGUAUAAGGGCAAAAGCUUGCUUUAGUUAUUAAUGUAAAUUAAUAAUACUGGAAACAGGGGCCUAGAGAUCCUCUAUGAAACUAAGCAUAGAGGUGACGGAAAAGUUACCACAGGGAUAACUGGCUUGUGGCGGCCGAGCGUCCAUAGCGACGCCGCUUUUUGAUUCUUCGAUGUCGGCUCUUCCGAGCAUGGUGGAGUAUCAGCCACCAAGUGUGUGAUUGUUCACCAACUAACAGGGAACGUGAGCUGGGUUUAGACCGUCGCGAGACAGGUUAGUUUUACCCUACUGCAUCGCGUCCGAAAGUAGGUCGGGGCAGUACGAGAGGAAGUGCCGAUCAGAACCGCUGGUGAUACUUUCGUCUGUUAAGGCGCGAAGUGUAGCUACGUUCUUCUUAUAAUAGCUGAAAGGCUCUAAGCUAGAAUGAAUACUUAAGGACGCAAAGAUAUGAAAACUACAUAUGUAAGGGAUGAAGGUUGUACCAAAAAAGCUUUUGCGAAAUUUUUAGACCACUAAUUUCCUUUUUUAAAAAAUGCUUGCCUCGAAAAAUAACGGAAAUUCUGGGGAAAAGGAAAAAUUAUUUUUUUUCGCCACUGUUCGG